Molecule: ribosomal RNA, 125 nt
Filed under: uncultured eukaryote
Lineage: Eukaryota
Description: partial 18S ribosomal RNA
Rfam family: Eukaryotic small subunit ribosomal RNA
Source: RNAcentral
UGGUGGAGUGAUCUGUCUGGUUAAUUCCGAUAACGAACGAGACCUCAACCUGCUAACUAGAUCCCGGGCGGUAUCUUCUUAGAGGGACUUCCAAGGUUACUUGGAGGAAGUGUGAGGCAAUAACA